ACGGAAGGCAGCAGUGGGGGAUAUUGCACAGUGGAGGAAACUCUGAUGCAGCAACGCCGCGUGAGGGAAGAAGGUUUUCGGAUUGUAAACCUCUGUUUUUAGUGAAGAAACAAAUGACGGUAGCUCAAGAGGAAGCCACGGCUAACUACGUGCCAGCAGCCGCGGUAAUACGUAGGUGGCAAGCGCUGUCCGGAUUUACUGGGUGUAAAGGGUGCGCAGGCGGGACUGCAAGUUGGAUGUGAAAUCCCGGGGCUCAACCCCGGAACUGCAUCCAAAACUGUAGUUCGUGAGUGGAGUAGAGGUAAGCGGAAUUCCGAGUGUAGCGGUGAAAUGCGUAGAUAUUCGGAGGAACACCAGUGGCGAAGGCGGCUUACUGGGCUCUAACUGACGCUGAGGCACGAAAGCAUGGGUAGCAAACAGGAUUAGAUACCCUGGUA
Molecule: ribosomal RNA, 437 nt
Filed under: uncultured Clostridiales Family IV bacterium
Lineage: Bacteria; Bacillati; Bacillota; Clostridia; Eubacteriales; Eubacteriales Family IV. Incertae Sedis
Description: bacterial SSU rRNA
Rfam family: Bacterial small subunit ribosomal RNA
Source: RNAcentral